This is a non-coding RNA of Phascolarctos cinereus (koala), 491 nucleotides long. The record is from RefSeq and is a predicted model, not a curated record. Lineage: Eukaryota; Metazoa; Chordata; Mammalia; Diprotodontia; Phascolarctidae.
GUGGAAUAGUUAGGAAGUCUUGGAAAUAAAUGAAAUACUGUUGGAUAUGGCAUCAAAGUGGGCUGGAAAGUAGUUUAAAUGCAGUCAGACCAGGAGCUGAAAGGAAUCGGAGACAGUGCUGGCAAAAGCUGGCGGAGUAUGGUUCAGGCUUGUUUAGCAAAGGCUGGAAAAAAAAGGAGAAAAAGGCAAAACCACCUCUUUGUAUCCUGCGAUCCCAUGGAGGAUUUUGGAAUGAAGGUACCAGGUCUAGGACAGCCUUUGUAAGAACUUAAGGUGAUUUCAGACUCUCCCUUGCUUCAAAAGAGAUUUUUAGCAGAAUUACCUAGGAAUUUCUGCAAGUGACUUGGAACUGGAGAAACAGAGCCUCCUUCAGAGCUAUCCUUGGAACAAGGCCAACAGAAUUCCAACACUACUUUUCAGGAACCACAAGACUAUAUGAGACAUCUGGGACUCAAGAUAAAUGUGCUGGUUAAAUGUACAUUGGUAAUGGA